RNAcentral lists this ribosomal RNA (595 nucleotides) under uncultured bacterium. RNAcentral describes it as "bacterial SSU rRNA". It matches the Rfam family "Bacterial small subunit ribosomal RNA", at positions 338 to 943 of the family's 1533-position model. The record is from RNAcentral.
CCUACGGGAGGCAGCAGUGGGGAAUAUUGCACAAUGGGCGAAAGCCUGAUGCAGCGACGCCGCGUGAGGGAUGACGGCCUUCGGGUUGUAAACCUCCUUCAGCAGGGAAGAAGCGAAAGUGACGGUACCUGCAGAAGAAGCGCCGGCUAACUACGUGCCAGCAGCCGCGGUAAUACGUAGGACGCAAGCGUUGUCCGGAAUUAUUGGGCGUAAAGAGCUCGUAGGCGGCUUGUCACGUCGGGUGUGAAAGCCCGGGGCUUAACCCCGGGUCUGCAUUCGAUACGGGCUAGCUAGAGUGUGGUAGGGGAGAUCGGAAUUCCUGGUGUAGCGGUGGAAUGCGCAGAUAUCAGGAGGAACACCGGUGGCGAAGGCGGAUCUCUGGGCCAUUACUGACGCUGAGGAGCGAAAGCGUGGGGAGCGAACAGGAUUAGAUACCCUGGUAGUCCACGCCGUAAACGGUGGGAACUAGGUGUUGGCGACAUUCCACGUCGUCGGUGCCGCAGCUAACGCAUUAAGUUCCCCGCCUGGGGAGUACGGCCGCAAGGCUAAAACUCAAAUGAAUUGACGGCUGAGAGNGCGAGCGACACGAGGAGAG